AAGACAGGUCGGGCAAUCGCGGUGUACGAAAGUGCGUCGAGGAAGGUCCGGACUCCAUAGGGCGGGAUAACGGCUAACGGCCGUCCGGCUGUUUACGGGCUUUGUCCGCAAGCAGCCGAGGAAUAGGGCCACAGAGACGAGUCUGCGGCGCGGGCGUGCUUUCGGGCGCGCACCGGUACGGCUAUCUCCGUACUGCGUCAGACGCUUUGCGUCGGGCGGCGUGGCAGGGUGAAACGCGGUAACCUCUAUCCGGAGCAACACCAAAUAGGCAUGCGCACGGUCUUCGGACCUGAGGGGCGGCUCGUCCCAGUAUGCGGGUAGGUGGCUACAGCGGCUCAGCAAUGAUCCGCGCAGAGGAAUGAUUGCCCGUCGGGGUGACCCGGCGUACAGAAUCCGGCCUAUAGACCUGUCUUGCAG
Molecule: RNase P RNA, 417 nt
Filed under: Bordetella sp. 15P40C-2
Lineage: Bacteria; Pseudomonadati; Pseudomonadota; Betaproteobacteria; Burkholderiales; Alcaligenaceae
Description: RNase P RNA component class A
Rfam family: Bacterial RNase P class A
About the family: Ribonuclease P (RNase P) is a ubiquitous endoribonuclease, found in archaea, bacteria and eukarya as well as chloroplasts and mitochondria. Its best characterised activity is the generation of mature 5'-ends of tRNAs by cleaving the 5'-leader elements of precursor-tRNAs. Cellular RNase Ps are ribonucleoproteins.
Source: RNAcentral